UAAGGAAUAUUGGUCAAUGGACGCAAGUCUGAACCAGCCAUGCCGCGUGAAGGAUUAAGGCCCUCUGGGUUGUAAACUUCUUUUAUAGGGGAAGAAAUGUGACGGUUCUCCGUCACUUGACGGUACCCUGGGAAUAAGCACCGGCUAACUCCGUGCCAGCAGCCGCGGUAAUACGGAGGGUGCAAGCGUUAUCCGGAUUCACUGGGUUUAAAGGGUGCGUAGGUGGGCAGAUAAGUCAGUGGUGAAAUCUUCGAGCUUAACUCAGAACGGCCAAGUGAUACUGCUGUGCUAGAGUGCGGAAGAGGCAACCGGAAUUCUUGGUGUAGCGGUGAAAUGCGUAGAUAUCAAGAGGAACACCUGAGGCGAAGGCGGGUUGCUGGGCCGACACUGACGCUGAUGCGCGAAAGCCAGGGGAGCAAACG
Molecule: ribosomal RNA, 422 nt
Filed under: uncultured bacterium
Lineage: Bacteria
Description: bacterial SSU rRNA
Rfam family: Bacterial small subunit ribosomal RNA
Source: RNAcentral